Molecule: long non-coding RNA, 1692 nt
Organism: Corvus hawaiiensis (hawaiian crow)
Lineage: Eukaryota; Metazoa; Chordata; Aves; Passeriformes; Corvidae
Exons: 5
Source: RefSeq, a predicted model, not a curated record
CAGUAACUCCAGACAGACUCCAGAUGAUAGGAGGUUUGAUGCAGCAAGGAGCUACAACAAGACCUUGGCUUGGAAUACACGAGCAACUCCAUGGCUAAUGUUCAGCACUUUAGUCUGAUACCAGAACUGAGCAAGUCUUGAGGACUGCCUUGAAUCAGGAUGACUGAAGAACAAGACUUAGGCUAAAUUGUACCAGAGGUAGAACUCUCAGAGGAUCAGUGAGCUAGAGGAAAUUUUGUCUUCUCCUUCAAGCCCAUCAGUCUGGGUCGUGUAGAGGGGGAAUUGAAACCUCAUUUUGGAGCAAAGGAAUCUUGUCAUUUACAAUACCUUUUACCCAGAGCCAAUAUGAAAGCCUGCGGGAUCCAGUCCUGGAGAGCUCCAUACGAUGAAAGGCAGGAACUGACUUCAAGAGGCACAAGAAACUGACUUAUUUAUUUGCAUGAUUUCUUAUUCAUUCUCCUGUUAAAUGGAAGAUGUUGGUUUGAACUGUGCCAGAAGAAAGGGGAAAUCCACACCCUCCUGUUCCAGGCAGUGCCCAAGGCAGAGAGUCUUAGCUAAGGAGCUGCCAAACCCAUGAGAAUUCAUUAGGCUCACUCUGCUGAUGAAGACAGGGCCCAACAAAGUGUCUGAAGAUGCUGCUGUGGGAAGGAAACUCAGUUUCUCCUGGCCAGAGCAGAGCCAAGAACCAAAAACGCUGCUGUCUGCCACCUACUGCAGUCUGGUACAGACAAACCUGCCUGUUCCCACUGCAUGUUCAGGAGGAUCCAGCAGAAAGCAGGUAGCUCAGGGUGUGAGCCAGGAGGCUUUUGUUCUCAGGGCCAGCUUGGCUGUGGGAUGUGAGAGGCUGGCUGGAGUGUUCAGGAUCUGGGUUUGCUUAGUUGUGUAAGAUGGUGAUGUGCUCUUUCCUCACUGCAUGCAAUAGCAUGGAGCCUGUUCCCACUUUCUCACCUUGGCUGCUGUGGGGGACCAUGUGUGGAGUGCCUGGUCCUGUUCCUUUAAUUGCAUAAUUAAAGUUAAGGGAAAGGAAUAAAGGAAAAUACUCUCACAAUCCCUCUCCUAACACACAUAUGGAUUGCCAGAGCAGCCUUUCUUUAGCUUAGUUUCCAGUACCUGCUCCAGUUAGUUCAGAUUCUUGUGGUUCAAUUUCUUUUUUUCCCUGCUGAGAGCUUAAACCACUGUACCAGGGAGAGAUGUGUGCUCUCAUUUGUGCAAUACCCUGCUAACCCAUGUGCAUCUACUCUGGAAAGCCCUGAUUGCGACUUAUGCCCCAUUUUUGGUGAAAGCAAAUAAAGUUUAGAGUUAAAUAUUUCAAGAACUGUUUCAGUGAUCUGGAUCCUGUUUUCCAGGUGAGGGUCUAAUUCCUCUUGCAUUUAAUCCACCAGAAGAAGCACAGGUGAUGCUGGAAACAAACCUUGUCCUGUGCAGGCUGGAAAGCCUAGAAAUGCUACAGAUGCCCUUUCUGCAAAUAAAUCUUUGUAUGGUGCUGCUGAAGAUUCAAGGUCUUAAAAGAGAGGAGGAUCCUGUCUUCAGUGCUCUGAAGGUGCAUCUAGAGCAGGACUGACUGUUGUGAACCCCAGUCUCACACUCAUGCUUAAACUAUUCACAACAGCAUGUUGACAGAGACAGCACAGUUGUUUUACAAUUCAUGUUGAAAGAAAAUUAAGGACUAAACACAACAGCAGAGGGUUUUGC